RNAcentral lists this non-coding RNA (28 nucleotides) under Mus musculus (house mouse). Lineage: Eukaryota; Metazoa; Chordata; Mammalia; Rodentia; Muridae. The record is from RNAcentral.
UAACACACAGGUAUUUCUGGGUUCCCUG